GAUGAACGCUGGCGGCGUGCCUAAUACAUGCAAGUCGAGCGAACAGAUGAGGAGCUUGCUCCUCUGACGUUAGCGGCGGACGGGUGAGUAACACGUGGAUAACCUACCUAUAAGACUGGGAUAACUACGGGAAACCGGAGCUAAUACCGGAUAAUAUAUUGAACCGCAUGGUUCAAUAGUUAAAGACGGUUUUGCUGUCACUUAUAGAUGGAUCCGCGCCGCAUUAGCUAGUUGGUAAGGUAACGGCUUACCAAGGCAACGAUGCGUAGCCGACCUGAGAGGGUGAUCGGCCACACUGGAACUGAGACACGGUCCAGACUCCUAAGGGAGGCAGCAGUAGGGAAUCUUCCGCAAUGGGCGAAAGCCUGACGGAGCAACGCCGCGUGAGUGAUGAAGGUCUUCGGAUCGUAAAACUCUGUUAUUAGGGAAGAACAAAUGUGUAAGUAACUAUGCACGUCUUGACGGUACCUAAUCAGAAAGCCACGGCUAACUACGUG
This 497-nucleotide ribosomal RNA is filed under the name uncultured bacterium. RNAcentral's name for it is "partial 16S ribosomal RNA". It matches the Rfam family "Bacterial small subunit ribosomal RNA", at positions 28 to 507 of the family's 1533-position model. The record is from RNAcentral.